RNAcentral lists this long non-coding RNA (478 nucleotides) under Lathyrus oleraceus (garden pea). Its description in RNAcentral is "Pisum sativum (pea) long non-coding RNA (PSAT_LNC033782)". The record is from RNAcentral. Lineage: Eukaryota; Viridiplantae; Streptophyta; Magnoliopsida; Fabales; Fabaceae.
GCCUUUCUAGCCAUCCGUAAUGUUGUAUUUAUCCAUUGUUAACCCCGUUGAGCCUGUGCCUCCUUGUGUUGUGAAAACCAUUAUGUUAACCAUAAGCCAAACACUUCCUACCCUCGCUCGGCAUGACUGUUGUAGUUCCAAAUUCGUGCAAAAAGAUAAGUUUGGGGUGGUGAUCCUUAGAAAUUGAAAAAGGGCAAGUGCAACAAAAGAAAAAAAAAGGUUUGUAGAAACAUAUACUUCUACCGAAAAUAAAAAGAGAAAAGAAAUGAAAAAUGGAGAUGAGAUAAAAAGCACUUGCCUAAGUCAAAGACUCAUGCCAUAAUGAGAUAAUCAAAGAAAGAAAAAUAGAGUGAAGAAAAAAAAAGAGUCAAGUUGGACAACACCCCAUGAAAUAAAUUGUGCACAAAGAAUAGAAACAACAUAAAUGCCGAGUUUUAAACCCCCUAUCACCCAUUUCCUUGUAUUUCCCCACCAUACC